Molecule: unclassified non-coding RNA, 308 nt
Filed under: fungal sp.
Lineage: Eukaryota; Fungi
Description: partial internal transcribed spacer region
Rfam family: Eukaryotic small subunit ribosomal RNA (bases 1-46)
Source: RNAcentral
AAGUCGUAACAAGGUAACCGUAGGUGAACCUGCGGUUGGAUCAUUAACAAAUUCAUUAGGCCCCCGGCUGCCUCAAAAGGGCGAAGGGGAAAACCUAAACAUUUGUGUGCACCAUAUAUGUCCUUGGCAGUUCGAGUGUCUCAGGUUGCGUAACUGCCCUGAGUGCCUACUGAGGCUAUCCUUCGGGUUAGCCAAGGUUGGGCUGCCGAAUUUUUGUAACAACCUCUGUUUUUUUUAUGCCUGAACUUUUUUUAAUCUGUAAAGAUUGAAUUUAAAUACAACUUUUGACAACGGAUCUCUUGGCUCUC